GUCGGGAGCGCCGGACGGAUUGUCCAUUACUACGUGAGUGGGUUUUAUGGGCCUGGUAUCCAAGCGGAAAACGGUGGCGCAGGAAGAAGAUCGAGCCUCAGUGCUGUGAUUUUGAGGAUUUGAGCGUAGAGUGCUGUUCAGAAGUUGGUUAUAGCGAACAGACACGUGUUAUGAGCUGCAGUUUGGAGCGGCUUGGGGCGCCGCGUGUGGCCGGCCGCGCUGAAGUUGACUUCCGCCCGAAAGCUAUGCUGAGAGGAGCAAUGUCGCCGUUUUGUAGAGGUAUAUCGGAAUGUUUACGUGCAAAUGCCAAGUUGCGUGAGAAAAUUCCAAAGCUUCUGCCACAAUCGUUAAUGGAAAAAUACAUACUCAAAACUUGA
RNAcentral lists this long non-coding RNA (377 nucleotides) under Chinchilla lanigera (long-tailed chinchilla). Its description in RNAcentral is "lncRNA (ENSCLAG00000022766.1)". The record is from RNAcentral. Lineage: Eukaryota; Metazoa; Chordata; Mammalia; Rodentia; Chinchillidae.